This is a long non-coding RNA of Malaclemys terrapin pileata, 3844 nucleotides long. RefSeq lists it as uncharacterized. The record is from RefSeq and is a predicted model, not a curated record. NCBI's taxonomy places the organism in Eukaryota, Metazoa, Chordata, Testudines, Emydidae. The transcript has 2 exons.
CAAAGUUUUCUUUCCAGACAUAAGAAUAUUUACUUUGUAAACUAUUCCAGUUAACAAAUCACAAAUUGCCAAUAAAAAAGUACACAUGGUUGUGAAAUUUGUUAUUUUUCCAAGGGCGAUCAAUACCAUCAAGUCCACCAGAACUAUGAGAUUACGUAUAAUCAACAAUACAACUUUUUAACGUCUAUACAAUCAGUUGCCUUUUCUCUUAGAAUAAAUUUUUGUAUAUAGUAUCAGAAAGCCAUUUCCUUGAGGGAUGAAAAUAGGCACUUCCAUCUUUAAUCAACAGGUCUGUUCAAAUGGCUCAUCCUCUUUUAUGCAAUGGUUGUGUAAUACUUUCUUAGCCAAUAAUCUAGGGUUGAUACUUCAAAAUACCAUUAGCCUCUCUUCUUAGGUAGAGGAGAAACUUCUCUCUGUGUAUAUUGUGGUGAGGGGGUUGUCAAAAGGGAAGUAGGUUGCACCCUUAGUAUUGAAUUAUACUGUUGUUAGGUUACAGUUUAUCAACAAGAAAAGGCAUAUGGAUGGCCUGUUCCCCUUGUGUUUGUGUAUGUGUGUUUAGGAAUAUAGGCAGUAGGUCAUGUGGGCCAUAGCAAAGUAGCCCCUGCACCCUUCUUAAAUUGUGCCCUCUCUCAUUUUGGUUGUGCCUUUUAAUUUCACCCAGGCACUCUGCGAUAGGGCUCUAGAUGUCAUAACACCUCUAUUUUCAGUAAUUUCUCACUAUUUAAUGCUGUAAAACAUCAAGGGUUACAACUUGUAUACAACUAAAAUGUAAAGUGUUAUCUGAAAACAGAAAAAUACUUCUUUAGGGCCCUUUGAAUAUAAUGAUAAACAAAAACAAAAAAAAAAUGUAAUUGUUGCUUUGCUUGUGCUGCUACAAAAUAUCUCCAUGCCUGUAGCCCCUCAAAAUGUUUUUGUUAAUCUUAUUUUAUUUACUGUUUCUGAUAGUCCAUUGUAUGGGGGGAAAUAAUACCUCAUAAAGUUUCUGUAUAACAAAUGCUUGCCCAUGCUAAAGCAUGAUAGCCGACAAAGAAUGGCUACCUACAAAACUAUUUCACUAAAAAAGAUGUCUGUUAUCACUAUUCCUUUGAAAUCCAGAACAGCUCUCUAUGGCUAUCUGUAGUAUAUGGUCUGUAGUACAUGGUAAACUUUUAAAAGUUUAUUUGAUAAGAUUAAAAACUGUAUGUUUAGCAAAAGAACAUGAUAGUUUUAUAUUGGGGGGGAAUCAGGAAAGGAGGAGGAAGUGGGCUUGGAGCUGUUUCUUCAGAUUACCAUGUCAGAGGCUGUAGGCUUAUCUGUGAACUUCAUGCAGUGACAAAGCUAUGGCUUUUGUCUUUUUAAAUUUUUUAUUUUUUUUAUCAUAAAACCCGUCUGUUGUGGGUUUUGUACUGUAUCCUAAAUUUUAAAGCUUUCUUUACAGCUUAUACGUAGAACAGGUUUUGUUUGUUUCUUUUUCUUGCACUUUUAAAAUUCGUUCUGUUCUUUUCCUUUUCUACAAUUUUAAAACUUUCUUUCAGUCUGCCUUUCUCUCUCAAAUCUGCUUUAUUUUGUAAAUUAUUUUAAAAGGACUUAUUCUCUGUCUACUGAACUUUAUUUAAAAUGUGUAAAAACCUGUUUUCUUCUGAAAAUCUUCUAACCGUAACACAUGAAAAAACACACAAAUAGUUCUAAUGCACCCAAUAAAGAAAAAUAUUUCAAAAUUUCAAAAUUGCUACUGGGACAAAAGUGUACAUGUCCAAAAAUGUGACUGGAUGGCAGGACAUAAAUGAAAAAAGGGUCAUGGAAACUUGUGAAAAUUUAUAUGAUGAAUAAAGGUACAGCAGUUAAACUACUUGCCAGCACUUUUGUCUUGAUGGGUUGUAAUGGAGUUGCAAGGUGAAGAAUUCUGUCAUAAGGGGGGGAGACAAAAUGGAAGAAAAAGCUCCCACAACAGGAUGAUUGUCAUAUUGUGAAGAGUUAGUCAACAGUUCUUGCUACAAUAGUACUUGAUGGUAUUACAUUAAGACAAUAAAAUAGUCUGCUCCAGAAUAUUGUGUUGUGGUACAGGUUCAAAAGGGAAUGCCUAUUAUGUAAAACUUCAGGGUGACAUAGCUUGCCUCACGACUAUAGUUGAAAAAGAGAGGGAUCAAAGUUAUUAUUGUCAGUAGUUCUGUCUCAUGUCAUCUAGAUAUUGGCUCAUAUAACAACAGUUUGCCUGUAGUAAUGCCACACUAGGCAACACUUAAAAUAUUUUAUUUAUUUAUUUAUUUUAUUUAGCAUGCUAAAUGUUCAUGACACUUACAGACAAUAUAGCUCCUGCCCCAAGGAGCUUACAUUUUGGCCUCGUCUACACUAUGAGUUUAAUUCGAAUUUAGCAGCGUUAAAUCGAAUUAACCCUGCACCGGUCCACACAACGAAGCCAUUUCUUUCGAAAUAAAGGGCUCUUUAAAUCAAUUUCUGUACUCCUUCCCAACAAGCGGAGUAGCGCCGAAAUCGAUGUUGUCAUUUCGAAUUAGGGUUAGUGUGGCCGCAAUUCGAUGGUAUUGGCCUCCGGGAGCUAUCCCACAGUGCACCAUUGUGACCGCUCUGGACAGCAAUCUGAACUCAGAUGCACUGGCCAGGUAGACAGGAAAAGCCCCGCGAACAUUUGAAUUUCAUUUCCUGUUUCCCCAGUAGAGAGCUCAUCAGCACAAGUAACCAUGCAGGCCAAUAAUCGAAAAAGAGCACCAGCAUGGACCGUAUGGGAGGUACUGGAUCUGAUCGCUAUAUGGGGAGAGGAUUCAGUGCUAGCAGAACUUUGUUCGAAAAGAUGAAAUGCCAAAACUUUUCAAAAAAUCUCCAAGGGCAUGAUGGAGAGAGGCCACAAUAGGGACUCAGAGCAGUGCUGCAUGAAAAAUCAAGGAGCUCAGACAAGCCUAUCAGAAAACAAAGGAGGCAAACAGUCGCUCCGGGUCAGAGCCGCAGACAGGCCGCUUGUACGCUGAGCUGCAUGCAGUUCUAGGGGGGGCCGCCAUCACUACCCCACCUCUGACCGUGGAUUCCGAGGUGGGGGUAAUCUCAUCAGCCACACCUGAGGAUUCUGCAGACGCGGAAGAGGAGGAGGAGGAGGAGGAGGAGCUUGCGGAGAGCACACAGCAUUCCAUUCUCCCCAACAGCCAGGAUCUUUUUCUCAGCCUGACUGAAGUACUCUCCCAAGCCUCCCAAGCCAGGACCAAAGACCAUGACCCCAUGCAGCUGCAAAUUUUUCAAGCCUCCCUCCUCCGUCCCAAAGGCUAUCUCAGAUAAGGCGUUGGAAAAAGAGGAUGCGAGACGAGAUGUUUGCGGAAAUCAUGGAAUCCACCCGCAAUGAAAGAGCUCAUCUGAAUGAGUGGAAGGACACGGUUUCAAAGUAUAGGAAAGAUGCCAGUGAAUGUGAGGACAGGAGGGACCAACGUGAGGACAGGAGGGACCAACGUGAGGAGAGGAGAGACGCUCGAGAUGAGAGGUGGAAGCAGGAAGAUCAGAGGAGGCAGGAUGCAACGCUGGGUCUGCUGCAUGAGCAAACAGACAUGCUCUGGCGUCUGGAGGAGCUUCAGGAACGGCAGCAGGAUCACAGACUUCCGCUGCAACCCCUGUAUAACCACCCUCCCCCCUCACCAUGUUCCAUAGCCUCCUCAUCCAGACGUGUAAGAAGGCGGAGGGGGGAGGCUCCGUGCACCUUCCCAUUCCACCCCAGUGGAUAGCCCAAGCAAAAUGCUGUCAUUAUUUUAACCUUUUUUUAGUGGCCUUUUCCUUCCCUCCGAUCCUCCUCCCAAACCCCACCCAGGCUACUUUCUCAGUUCUCUCCCUCUUUUUAUAAUCAAUUAAUAAAGAAUACAUGAUUUUUAAA